UUAAAGUGAGCAAUCAUUAAGUUCUCCAAAUCCUUUUUUACACUAUUGCAAAAUCUUUCUUACACUGUAUGGCAUUUUCUGGCUUGACGGUUCAAGCAGCCUUAGCAUGAACUGUCUUAUCUCCUGUUGUGUCAGGCUGACAGAUUUGUUGGAUAUAUUAAAAAUCAAAUGUAGUUAUAUAACUUUGAAAUAUGGUAUAUAUAUAUACUGAACUGAGGGACAAUGUGUAUAAAUGAAAACAUACUCUAUAGCAACAAUUUGAUUAUAAGACUUGGCCUCAUGUUACACCACGCAGCUGUUUGUCUGAACUAACAAAGAUUUAUAUACCUCAGAAUGUUGAAGUGGUUGCAACAGCAAGUCAAUUUGACCAUUCUUCUCUCUGUUAAAUUCUUCUUAAAGCUAUUUUAGCACUUGGAGGAUACUAAAAUCUAGAGAGAUAAAUUGAGUUAGUAAAUAAAACCUUUUUUAUAAGCAUACUAUUGUCACACUCCAGGUUCUAUUCGGGUGCAGGCCAGGUUUUCUCUCUCUCUCCUCUGCAGGGAUGGACGGGCAGGUGCACUACAUCUGAGCUGAUCACCACCCUUCUUAAGGAGCUGGAAGCAGGAGGAGGGCGUCAGUUCCCUAACGCCACAGCGUUGAACCCUUGUUUCUGACCCCUGGACCCAGCCGUGAACCAUAGACCUUGGACCCUCCGCCUGAAAGAUAACCAGGAACCCGAGAAGGAUCUCGGGUUAUCCACCGUUCAGCCCUCCUACCUGCGAUCACCUGCCUGUCCACCCUCAAACCUCCAACCAGGGAGAGAGUACUGGUCAGCACACGGACCACCGGGGACACUUCCCCCCCAAGACCGGACCACAGCCUCUCUACAAAGCCCAGAAGAACCUGACCAGACCAUACAGCUUCCAGUUCACGUCCACUAUCUUAUUUUUCAAUAAAACCUCUUAAACCUUCUCCUGCCUCUGUAGUUGCUCUCGUCCAGAGUUACCUUCAAUUAUGACAACUAUAUGUUUUAUAGAUGUAUACUACAUAAUUUGUAUUCUGCACAGAGGUUUCUGUUCACUAUAACAGUCACUUAGUUAUGA
This is a long non-coding RNA of Cyprinodon variegatus (sheepshead minnow), 1082 nucleotides long. RefSeq lists it as uncharacterized. The record is from RefSeq and is a predicted model, not a curated record. Lineage: Eukaryota; Metazoa; Chordata; Actinopteri; Cyprinodontiformes; Cyprinodontidae. The transcript has 3 exons.